CGGGAGCUUGCUCCCUUAGGCCAGCGGCGGACGGGUGAGUAACACGUGGGUAACCUGCCUGUAAGACUGGGAUAACUCCGGGAAACCGGGGCUAAUACCGGAUGCUUGAUUGAACCGCAUGGUUCAAUCAUAAAAGGUGGCUUUUAGCUACCACUUGCAGAUGGACCCGCGGCGCAUUAGCUAGUUGGUGAGGUAACGGCUCACCAAGGCGACGAUGCGUAGCCGACCUGAGAGGGUGAUCGGCCACACUGGGACUGAGACACGGCCCAGACUCCUACGGGAGGCAGCAGUAGGGAAUCUUCCGCAAUGGACGAAAGUCUGACGGAGCAACGCCGCGUGAGUGAUGAAGGUUUUCGGAUCGUAAAACUCUGUUGUUAGGGAAGAACAAGUACCGUUCGAAUAGGGCGGUACCUUGACGGUACCUAACCAGAAAGCCACGGCUAACUACGUGCCAGCAGCCGCGGUAAUACGUAGGUGGCAAGCGUUGUCCGGAAUUAUUGGGCGUAAAGCGCGCGCAGGCGGUUUCUUAAGUCUGAUGUGAAAGCCCCCGGCUCAACCGGGGAGGGUCAUUGGAAACUGGGGAACUUGAGUGCAGAAGAGGAGAGUGGAAUUCCACGUGUAGCGGUGAAAUGCGUAGAGAUGUGGAGGAACACCAGUGGCGAAGGCGACUCUCUGGUCUG
This 680-nucleotide ribosomal RNA is filed under the name uncultured Bacillus sp. RNAcentral describes it as "bacterial SSU rRNA". It matches the Rfam family "Bacterial small subunit ribosomal RNA", at positions 73 to 736 of the family's 1533-position model. Lineage: Bacteria; Bacillati; Bacillota; Bacilli; Caryophanales; Bacillaceae. The record is from RNAcentral.